GAUGAACGCUGGCGGCGUGCUUAACACAUGCAAGUCGAACGGAAAGGCUCCUGCUUGCAGGGGUACUCGAGUGGCGAACGGGUGAGUAACGCGUGGGUGAUCUGCCCUGCACUUCGGGAUAAGCCUGGGAAACUGGGUCUAAUACCGGAUAGGACGAUGGUUUGGAUGCCAUUGUGGAAAGUUUUUCGGUGUGGGAUGAGCUCGCGGCCUAUCAGCUUGUUGGUGGGGUAAUGGCCUACCAAGGCGUCGACGGGUAGCCGGCCUGAGAGGGUGUACGGCCACAUUGGGACUGAGAUACGGCCCAGACUCCUACGGGAGGCAGCAGUGGGGAAUAUUGCACAAUGGGCGCAAGCCUGAUGCAGCGACGCCGCGUGGGGGAUGACGGCCUUCGGGUUGUAAACUCCUUUCGCUAGGGACGAAGCGUUUUGUGACGGUACCUGGAGAAGAAGCACCGGCUAACUACGUG
RNAcentral lists this ribosomal RNA (466 nucleotides) under uncultured bacterium. Its description in RNAcentral is "partial 16S ribosomal RNA". It matches the Rfam family "Bacterial small subunit ribosomal RNA", at positions 28 to 507 of the family's 1533-position model. The record is from RNAcentral.